This 408-nucleotide ribosomal RNA is filed under the name uncultured bacterium. RNAcentral describes it as "partial 16S ribosomal RNA". It matches the Rfam family "Bacterial small subunit ribosomal RNA", at positions 28 to 526 of the family's 1533-position model. The record is from RNAcentral.
GACGAACGCUGGCGGCGUGCUUAACACAUGCAAGUCGAACGAAGUGGCGAACGGGUGAGUAACGCGUAAUCAACCUGCCCUUCAGAGGGGGACAACAGUUGGAAACGACUGCUAAUACCGCAUAAUGAAGGGGGGGAUUGCGUCUGAUUCGCUAGUUGGAGGGGUAACGGCCCACCAAGGCGAUGAUCAGGAGCCGGUCUGGGAGGGUGAACGGCCACAUUGGUACGUAGACACGGCCCAGACUCCUACGGGAGGCAGCAGUGGGGAAUCUUCCGCAAUGGACGAAAGUCUGACGGAGCAACGCCGCGUGAGUGAUGACGGCCUUCGGGUUGUAAAGCUCUGUUAAGCGGGACGCGGUACCGGAAUAGAAAGCCACGGCUAACUCCGUGCCAGCAGCCGCGGUAAUUC